GCUUGGGUGUGAUUCUGGAAUAUUACCAAGCUGUCACCUCAGCCACAAAAAGCUUGUAAUAGGUAAACUUGACAUGGGUAAGCUUGGGUGUGAUUCUGGAAUAUUACCAAGCUGUCACCUCAGCCACAAAAAGCUUGUAAUAGGUAAACUUGACAUGGGUAAGCUUGGGUGUGAUUCUGGAAUAUUACCAAGCUGUCACCUCAG
This is a long non-coding RNA of Eriocheir sinensis (Chinese mitten crab), 204 nucleotides long. RefSeq lists it as uncharacterized. Lineage: Eukaryota; Metazoa; Arthropoda; Malacostraca; Decapoda; Varunidae. The record is from RefSeq and is a predicted model, not a curated record. The transcript has 2 exons.